AGUGAACGCUGGCGGUAGGCCUAACACAUGCAAGUCGAACGGCAGCACAGUAAGAGCUUGCUCUUACGGGUGGCGAGUGGCGGACGGGUGAGGAAUACAUCGGAAUCUACUUUUUCGUGGGGGAUAACGUAGGGAAACUUACGCUAAUACCGCAUACGACCUACGGGUGAAAGCAGGGGAUCUUCGGACCUUUCGCGAUUGAAUGAGCCGAUGUCGUAUUAGCUAGUUGGCGGGGUAAAGGCCCACCAAGGCGACGAUCCGUAGCUGGUCUGAGAGGAUGGUCAGCCACACUGGAACUGAGACACGGUCCAGACUCCUACGGGAGGCAGCAGUGGGGAAUAUUGGACAAUGGGCGCAAGCCUGAUCCAGCCAUACCGCGUGGGUGAAGAAGGCCUUCGGGUUGUAAAGCCCUUUUGUUGGGAAAGAAAAGCAGCAGGUUAAUACCCCGCUGUUCUGACGGUACCCAAAGAAUAAGCACCGGCUAACUUCGUG
Molecule: ribosomal RNA, 492 nt
Filed under: uncultured bacterium
Lineage: Bacteria
Description: partial 16S ribosomal RNA
Rfam family: Bacterial small subunit ribosomal RNA
Source: RNAcentral